UAUUCGCUUAAUAUAACGGGA
RNAcentral lists this non-coding RNA (21 nucleotides) under Caenorhabditis elegans. The record is from RNAcentral. Lineage: Eukaryota; Metazoa; Nematoda; Chromadorea; Rhabditida; Rhabditidae.